RNAcentral lists this transfer RNA (75 nucleotides) under Thermoplasmata archaeon. RNAcentral describes it as "tRNA-Arg". The record is from RNAcentral. Lineage: Archaea; Methanobacteriati; Thermoplasmatota; Thermoplasmata.
GCGCGUGGCCUAGCCAGGAUAUGGCGGCAGCCUCCUAAGCUGCAGGUCGCGGGUUCGAACUGUAACCUGUCUGCA